Molecule: ribosomal RNA, 1747 nt
Filed under: Triticum aestivum (bread wheat)
Lineage: Eukaryota; Viridiplantae; Streptophyta; Magnoliopsida; Poales; Poaceae
Description: partial small subunit ribosomal RNA
Source: RNAcentral
GUCCCACUAUACACCACACGGACCUUAUCCCCUUUCUUCUCCAUCGAUUUCUUCUCCACCGAAACAGAAAUAGCUCCCAUGCUCUUCUCCACACACCACGGCAAAAACUCCAUGGAUCCCCACCUCUUCCCAUCUCCUUUUAAUCCUGCCUCAUGUGCCGUCUGCUCCUCGCGCAGGCCGUCGAGCUAAUUUUUGCCAGCGGGAGCGCCGUUCCCUAUUUCUCACUGCUUUUCUUGUGUGCAGGGACGCGCGGAGCGGUCACCGCCUGUGCUAUGAACCGGCGACGUCUUGCUACUACGAGCGGUGACCGACGAGGUGCGGGACGACCAGCGGCGACGCGAGGUGCGGCGGUGCUCCAACCGCAUGCACGCAAAGCUGGAACCGGCGUUCCGAGGUGCUACAACCGGCAUGCGGCCAUGCUACAAUCAACGCGCGGCGGCGACGACCACUACUGGCGAUUUGCUACAACCGCGGUGUCGACAGUUGCAACCGGUGACAAGAAAUGCUACAACCGGCCAUCCAUUUGCUGGAACCGGUAUCAGUUUUUGCUGCCGUCGGCCACCGAUUUGCUGGAACCAGAUGCGUACUCAUCGUCAACGUGCGAUAUUUGCUGGAACCAGUGUAUGUUUUUGCUGGAACUAGCUUUUCCUUUUGCUACAAUCUUUUUUUGUUUGCUACAAUAGAACCAAUUCGAGUCUCCCUUCAGAGUUAUUUUGCUGGAACCAACGUUUUUUUUGCUGGAACUAGCAAUUUUUUUUGCUACAAUCAACCACCGAAGUUUUCUUUGUUGAGGUUAAUUUUGCUGGAACCGGUGUGUUUUUUGCUGGAACCUUAUAAUGAAUUUGCUUCAAACCGGCCACUGAGGAUUUUGUUAGUUUUUGCUGGACACCGACUACCGCGGCGAGCCGGAGGUGGACCGCGGCGAACCGGAGGCGGGGCUACGCUAGGGAUGCUGCAACCAUGGCACCCGUGAGCUGGAUCUGGUUGUUUUUAGAGCUUCAUCCUUAAUGAAUCGCCUCUGGAAUCAAUCGCGGCCGUUAUGCAAUUCCGGCGGCCAAGGGGCGGGACCUCGUGGGAGCUCGCGGGGAACGGCCACAACGGCGAUGAGGAUGGGUGGUGGUGGUGUGCCCGAGGAUGGGCGGGACCUCGUCUUGUUUUUCUGUCGAGCAGUGCUAGGAAGAAGACGACACAGAUGGGUCAAAUCCAACAGCUACGCAUGAUUUGAUCGGGUGGCUGUGCGUCGACCGGCCCAAAUUUGGGCCGGUGCACCGGCGCCUAGCACUACCCUUUAUUAUUUUGACCUCUGAAAGAAUAGAGAAUGGAAUUCAAACGCGCAUUCUAUUACCUUAACUGAAAGUUCCAAGGUCCAACAAGCUAGGAAGAACGAUUCAAGUAACUGAAGUGCACGUAUUGAGCAGGCCACCGAUUCAGACCAAAAUCCCCCGCGUAGGGGAGAAAAAACAAAUAUUACCACCAGGAAAUUCUUCCUUCCUCGCGUUUGAAUCCUGCAGAACAGGUCAGAAACUUGGCGCCAAAGGUCAUGCAUGCUCCUCCAAGCGAGAACACAGGCCUUGAAACCUUGCAAACGGCAUGAACACUGCCGAAACAGUGCGUGCGACUCUGAACCCCAGCGAUGCCUAUAUAAGCAAGCUCACCCAUGGCAUGAUUUCUCCAAAUCAACCGAAGCCCAUCUGGUUUAGCGCCAGAACUGCUGACAUUUGAAAUACUACGAGACAAGUCUCUCUCC